RNAcentral lists this long non-coding RNA (640 nucleotides) under Ananas comosus (pineapple). RNAcentral's name for it is "long non-coding RNA (ACOM_LNC018751)". Lineage: Eukaryota; Viridiplantae; Streptophyta; Magnoliopsida; Poales; Bromeliaceae. The record is from RNAcentral.
UUAUCUCAUUUUUGUGAUCACAAAUUCUAUUCAGAAUUUUUGAUAAUUAAUUUCCAUACACUUUUGAUCCUCAAAUUACAAGGCGCGUGGCAUCUUGAUUUUCAAACUUUAAUUUAUUAUAAUUUUUAGUUCGAACUAUCUAAAUUAUUGUUAUUAAAUUUCGCAAUCUAAUUUAAUGUGCCAAAUAUUGAUAUGGCCUGAGCGGUGAGGUAGUAGUAUUGCGAUUGAUUAUACGACAAUAAUUAAGAUUUAUAUUACUUUUAUAUCAGCACCUUAUCAUUAUUUAGCCAAUUAAAUUGAAUUGUAAAAAUUACUUGUAAUAAUUUAUAAAAUUUAAAUAUAAAAUUAUAAUAAAUUAAAGUAUAAAAACUAAAGUAUCAUGGCCCUCAUACGUUCCAGGGCCAUAAAUAUAAGUUGGGAAAACUUCAAAAACCCCCCAUGUGGUUUCAUGCAUUCUCACUUUGCUACCCUGUGGUUUAAAACGUAUCAUUUUGCCUCCCUGUGGUUUCGUUUUUAUCUUUUUAUUAUCAAUUUUAUUAUUAUUUUUUAAAAUCAGUGACAAAGUUAAAAUUAAAGGAUACUAAAGUGACUAUUCGAUAAAUAUAGAUGGUUAUCUGAAGUUUUUUGUAUAUAAUUUAAC